AACUAACGCUGGCGGCGUGCCUAACACAUGCAAGUCGAACGAGAAAGUUGGCUUCGGCCGAUGAGUAAAGUGGCGCACGGGUGAGUAACGCGUGGAUAAUCUGCCCUUUAGUUUGGAAUAACGUACCGAAAGGUGCGCUAAUACCGGAUAAUACUGAAUGACUACUGUCGUUUAGUCAAAGAAGGCUUCUGUUUACAUGCUUUUGCUGAAGGAUGAGUCCGCGUACCAUUAGCUAGUUGGUAGGGUAAUGGCCUACCAAGGCGACGAUGGUUAGCUGGUCUGAGAGGAUGAUCAGCCACACUGGAACUGAGACACGGUCCAGACUCCUACGGGAGGCAGCAGUGAGGAAUAUUGCGCAAUGGGGGCAACCCUGAUCCAGCCAUGCCGCGUGAGUGAAGAAGGCCUCGGUUGUAAGCUCUUCGUCGGACGGAAUACGUAUGGUUAAGUACCUACGUGCGGAGUGACGGUACCGGCCGAUAAGAAGACACCGGCGUAACUACGUACG
Molecule: ribosomal RNA, 505 nt
Filed under: uncultured bacterium
Lineage: Bacteria
Description: bacterial SSU rRNA
Rfam family: Bacterial small subunit ribosomal RNA
Source: RNAcentral